ACUGCUCAGUAACACGUGGAUAACCUGCCCUUGGGUCCGGCAUAACCCCGGGAAACUGGGGAUAAUUCCGGAUAACGCACAUAUGCUGGAAUGCUUUUUGCGUAAAAUGGAUUCGUCUGCCCAAGGAUGGGUCUGCGGCCUAUCAGGUAGUAGUGGGUGUAAUGUACCUACUAGCCUACGACGGGUACGGGUUGUGAGAGCAAGAGCCCGGAGAUGGAUUCUGAGACAUGAAUCCAGGCCCUACGGGGCGCAGCAGGCGCGAAAACUUUACAAUGCGGGAAACCGUGAUAAGGGGACACCGAGUGCCAGCAUCAUAUGCUGGCUGUCCGGGUGUGUAAAAUACACCUGUUAGCAAGGGCCGGGCAAGACCGGUGCCAGCCGCCGCGGUAACACCGGCGGCCCGAGUGGUGAUCGUGAUUAUUGGGUCUAAAGGGUCCGUAGCCGGUUUGGUCAGUCCUCCGGGAAAUCUGAUAGCUCAACUAUUAGGCUUUCGGGGGAUACUGCCAGACUUGGAACCGGGAGAGGUAAGAGGUACUACAGGGGUAGGAGUGAAAUCUUGUAAUCCCUGUGGGACCACCUGUGGCGAAGGCGUCUUACCAGAACGGGUUCGACGGUGAGGGACGAAAGCUGGGGGCACGAACCGGAUUAGAUACCCGGGUAGUCCCAGCCGUAAACGAUGCUCGCUAGGUGUCAGGCAUGGCGCGACCGUGUCUGGUGCCGCAGGGAAGCCGUGAAGCGAGCCACCUGGGAAGUACGGCCGCAAGGCUGAAACUUAAAGGAAUUGGCGGGGGAGCAC
This 796-nucleotide ribosomal RNA is filed under the name uncultured archaeon. RNAcentral describes it as "bacterial SSU rRNA". It matches the Rfam family "Archaeal small subunit ribosomal RNA", at positions 85 to 879 of the family's 1478-position model. The record is from RNAcentral.